GUAGUCAUAUGCUUGUCUCAAGAUUAAGCCAUGCAUGUCUAAGUAUAAGCAAUUAUACCGUGAAACUGCGAAUGACUCAUUAAAUCAGUUAUCGUUUAUUUGAUAAUACCUUACUACUUGGAUAACCGUGGUAAUUCUAGAGCUAAUACAUGCUAAAAAUCCCGACUUCGGAAGGGAUGUGUUUAUUAGAUAAAAAACCAAUGCCCUUCGGGGCUUCUUGGUGAUUCAUGAUAACUUUACGGAUCGCAUAGCCUUGCGCUGGCGACGGUUCAUUCAAAUUUCUGCCCUAUCAACUUUCGAUGGUAAGGUAUUGGCUUACCAUGGUUUCAACGGGUAACGGGGAAU
RNAcentral lists this ribosomal RNA (345 nucleotides) under uncultured fungus. RNAcentral describes it as "SSU rRNA". It matches the Rfam family "Eukaryotic small subunit ribosomal RNA", at positions 20 to 370 of the family's 1831-position model. Lineage: Eukaryota; Fungi. The record is from RNAcentral.